GACGAACGCUGGCGGCGUGCCUAAUACAUGCAAGUCGAACGCUUCUUUCCUCCCGAGUGCUUGCACUCAAUUGGAAAGAGGAGUGGCGGACGGGUGAGUAACACGUGGGUAACCUACCCAUCAGAGGGGGAUAACACUUGGAAACAGGUGCUAAUACCGCAUAACAGUUUAUGCCGCAUGGCAUAAGAGCGAAAGGCGCUUUCGGGUGUCGCUGAUGGAUGGACCCGCGGUGCAUUAGCUAGUUGGUGAGGUAACGGCUCACCAAGGCCACGAUGCAUAGCCGACCUGAGAGGGUGAUCGGCCACACUGGGACUGAGACACGGCCCAGACUCCUACGGGAGGCAGCAGUAGGGAAUCUUCGGCAAUGGACGAAAGUCUGACCGAGCAACGCCGCGUGAGUGAAGAAGGUUUUCGGAUCGUAAAACUCUGUUGUUAGAGAAGAACAAGGACGUUAGUAACUGAACGUCCCCUGACGGUAUCUAACCAGAAAGCCACGGCUAACUACGU
RNAcentral lists this ribosomal RNA (507 nucleotides) under uncultured bacterium. RNAcentral's name for it is "partial 16S ribosomal RNA". It matches the Rfam family "Bacterial small subunit ribosomal RNA", at positions 28 to 506 of the family's 1533-position model. The record is from RNAcentral.